This 441-nucleotide ribosomal RNA is filed under the name uncultured bacterium. Its description in RNAcentral is "bacterial SSU rRNA". It matches the Rfam family "Bacterial small subunit ribosomal RNA", at positions 28 to 449 of the family's 1533-position model. The record is from RNAcentral.
GAUGAACGCUGGCGGCGUGCUUAACACAUGCAAGUCGAACGAAGCACUCUAUUUGAUUUUCUUCGGAAAUGAAGAUUUUGUGACUGAGUGGCGGACGGGUGAGUAACGCGUGGGUAACCUGCCUCAUACAGGGGGAUAACAGUUGGAAACGACUGCUAAUACCGCAUAAGCGCACAGGAUUGCAUGAUCCGGUGUGAAAAACUCCGGUGGUAUGAGAUGGACCCGCGUCUGAUUAGCCAGUUGGCAGGGUAACGGCCUACCAAAGCGACGAUCAGUAGCCGACCUGAGAGGGUGACCGGCCACAUUGGGACUGAGACACGGCCCAAACUCCUACGGGAGGCAGCAGUGGGGAAUAUUGCACAAUGGGGGAAACCCUGAUGCAGCGACGCCGCGUGAGCGAAGAAGUAUUUCGGUAUGUAAAGCUCUAUCAGCAGGGAAGAA